RNAcentral lists this long non-coding RNA (389 nucleotides) under Ficedula albicollis (Collared flycatcher). RNAcentral describes it as "lncRNA (ENSFALG00000024456.1)". The record is from RNAcentral. Lineage: Eukaryota; Metazoa; Chordata; Aves; Passeriformes; Muscicapidae.
GUUUGGCUCUGGCAGCGGUUAGAAAAGAUGUUGUUUGUCUGAAGAGACAAGGGUGUGGUGAAAAUACUCCGUGCCAGCCAAGUGAACCAAAACACUAUCUGAAUUACUAAACAGGUUGGAAAAUAAAAUUUAACUGACAGAAGAUCUGGAUCCCACCUGUGCUAAGAGACAGAAAAAGAAUCACAGAAAUUGCUGUGUGCAGUUGGAGCAUCUGCACUAUGAAAUUCACCCUGAAUGAAAGGAAACUCAGAUGUCUUUACUUCCAGCAGAGAGGACACAACUCUCAGGCUGAAUUAGGCCAUUUGAAGAGGUUUACCAAAAUCUCCGUGGGUUACAGACACAAGACUUUUCUCUCACACUGGUCUGGACUGAGCACAGGGUGGUUGUAG